GCCUAAGUACUAAGUGAGCUGUACCCCACGAAAAGCAGACAAGCGAAAGCGGAAGGGAAGCAACAGUUAAAGCCACAGCGCGUCUAAAAGCCGGCUACACUACAAAGUUUAUUGGCAUAAAAAAUCAAAACAGCAGAAAAACCACAAACACCGUUAAAUAGGGUAAACCGUGAGGAAAAGAGAGCAGAACUAAAGUGUGGUAAACAACUUUGAAAAAAUCGAAGAAAAAGAGGAGAGAGGAAGUAGAAAGGUGAGGUACACAGAGAAUGCGUGCAAAAGGCAAGCAAUUGAGGAAAACAGGCGAAAACACUCAAAGAGACGUUUAAGUGCAAUAACAGUUGCAACAACAACAAAAAAAAACACUUGAACGAUAACAAAACUGUAGCGGCGGGCGAAACUGCAACUGCAACAUCAACAACACAGCCACAGCUACAACGGCAACAUCAUCCACAAAAAAAAAAAACACCAAUACGAAGAGUAAGACUAGCAAAAAGGGUAGGCGCAGACAAGCAAUCGAAAAAAGUGCAACCGACCGAGCAAAGCAAAAAAGGUGAAAAGUGGCGAGUGCUGAGUUCCGAGUGGUGGCGGAUCGACACAGCUGGAAAGAAGAGUAAUAGAAAAACAUAAAGACCUUUUGUGGCAACUUGAGAACUUCUUCCUUCUUACGAAUAUCAUCGCAUUUCCAUUCACAAAAAAAAAGGACAAACACACAACUUUAAGUGCAGCUUCAGUGCAAAGAAUAGAAGCGAAGUUUGUUUUUUCAGUCUUAGAGUGCGACUGCGGGACUGCCAAUAGAAGGACCUUGGCGUCAGCGGUGAAGAAUAUAAUCGAAUAAAAUAUUUCAAAAAAAAAACAUAAAAAGGCAGCGAACAGCAGCUGGGAAGGGAGAACGACUGCAGCAAAACAAAAAAAAAUCACUGUGCAGAUAAUCUUCAGGUGACUAUAAAGGCACCACACAAAUUUGAUAAUAGUGAGUGUGAAUAAGUAGAUAUUGUGCUGCAGCAUGCAACAAACGUUUGCCACUUACAAUGGCAUUUGUAGCCUGCAGGCAUAAACCGCGCGCAAGUUGCUUAGCGUAGUCAGCCCACUAGCUUAACUCGUUCUAUUAGAUCAUAACUCAAUACGCACUAAAUAUUC
Molecule: long non-coding RNA, 1137 nt
Organism: Rhagoletis zephyria (snowberry fruit fly)
Lineage: Eukaryota; Metazoa; Arthropoda; Insecta; Diptera; Tephritidae
Source: RefSeq, a predicted model, not a curated record